CCUACGGGAGGCAGCAGUGGGGAAUAUUGCGCAAUGGGCGGCAGCCUGCCGCAGCGACGCCGCGUUAGGGCUGAAGGCCUUCGGGUUGUAAACCUCUUUCCGCAGGGAGGAAGCGCAAGUGACGGUACCUGCAGAAGAUGCACCGGCUAACUACGUGCCAGCAGCCGCGGUAAUACGUCGGGUGCAAGCGUGGUCGUGAAUUAUUGGGCGUAACGAGCUCGUAGGCGGUUUGUCCCGUCUGUUGUGAAAACGCGGGGAGCAACGCCGCGCCUGCAGUGGGUACGGGCAGACUAGAGUGCAGUAGGGGAGACUGGAAUUCCCGGGGGAGCGGUGGAAUGCGCAGAUAUCAGGAGGAACACCGGUGGCGAAGGCGAGUCUCUGGGCUGUAACUGACGCUGAGGAGCGAAAGCGUGGGUAGCGAACAGGAUUAGAUACCCUUGUAGUC
Molecule: ribosomal RNA, 445 nt
Filed under: uncultured bacterium
Lineage: Bacteria
Description: partial 16S ribosomal RNA
Rfam family: Bacterial small subunit ribosomal RNA
Source: RNAcentral